RNAcentral lists this ribosomal RNA (253 nucleotides) under uncultured bacterium. RNAcentral's name for it is "partial 16S ribosomal RNA". It matches the Rfam family "Bacterial small subunit ribosomal RNA", at positions 524 to 776 of the family's 1533-position model. The record is from RNAcentral.
UACGUAGGUGGCGAGCGUUGUCCGGAUUUACUGGGCGUAAAGCGCGCGCAGGCGGAUUGGUCAGUCCGGGGUGAAAUCUCACGGCUCAACUGUGAGCGGUCCCCGGAUACUGCCAGUCUUGAGGUGUCUAGAGGAGAGCGGAAUUCCCGGUGUAGUGGUGGAAUGCGUAGAUAUCGGGAAGAACACCAGUGGCGAAAGCGGCUCUCUGGGGAUCACCUGACGCUGAGGCGCGAAAGCGUGGGGAGCGAACCGG